RNAcentral lists this ribosomal RNA (673 nucleotides) under uncultured marine eukaryote. Its description in RNAcentral is "SSU rRNA". It matches the Rfam family "Eukaryotic small subunit ribosomal RNA", at positions 619 to 1315 of the family's 1831-position model. The record is from RNAcentral.
UUAAAAAGCUCGUAGUUGAAUUUCUAGUCAACCGUUAGCUGGCUUCACAGUCGUUAACGAUUGCCUAUCCGACAUUGAACUAUAAUGGUUAUUAAGUUAACCUUAUAGCGAACUGUCAUUUUACUUUGAAAAAAUUAGAGUGUUUCAGGCAGGCAAUUGCCCGAAUAUCUUAGCAUGGAAUAAUGGAAUAGGACUUUGGUUCAUUUGAUUGGUUAUUGUAUCAGAGUAAUGAUUAAUAGGGACAGUUGGGGGCAUUAGUAUUUAAUUGUCAGAGGUGAAAUUCUUGGAUUUAUUAAAGACUAACUUAUGCGAAAGCAUUUGCCAAGGAUGUUUUCAUUAAUCAAGAACGAAAGUUAGGGGAUCAAAGACGAUCAGAUACCGUCCUAGUCUUAACUAUAAACUAUACCGACUCAGGAUUGGCGAUGCCAUAAGCUUCGUCAGCACUGUAUGAGAAAUUAAAGUCUUUGGGUUCUGGGGGGAGUAUGGUCGCAAGGCUGAAACUUAAAGGAAUUGACGGAAGGGCACCACCAGGAGUGGAGCCUGCGGCUUAAUUUGACUCAACACGGGGAAACUUACCAAGGCCAAACAGAGGUGGGAUUGACAGAUUGAGAGCUCUUUCUUGAUUCUUUGGGUGGUGGUGCAUGGCCGUUCUUAGUUGGUGGAGUGAUUUGUC